AUGUUAAUAUCUUAAUAAUCAACCUGGUCAAAACCUUUCAGGUUUCUUCGUUUGAGUCAGUCGCCUUGAUUCAGAAUGUCACGAGCCUUAAGAUUUCAUGCUGAGGCGCCUUGCAAAUCCGACACUUAAGAUCCUCCUAGACCUUGAGGUGAUCAGCAUAAGAGGCCAGAUCCCCUCGAGCCAUCUACACGUAGCUUCACCUUAUUCUUUAAGGGCAGAAAAUUUGAGACGGUGAUCGCCGUAACAGUAAAUUUGGCUUUCAAUUGGGGCCCCCCUCCGGUUUAGAAAGAGGAACACCAGAUUGACCACAUUCCCACCUAGAAAAAUCUUCUUGCGUCAAUCAAGCCUCACCUUGGCUCAUUGGGCUGUCAGUUUGAUCGUCGUUAGAUUGAAGAGAACACCUAGAUGCAGCGAUCGGCUAUAGAUACUUCUAGAUCGUCUAGAUCUGCUAGACCUUGGGCCAAAGAGGGUCGACCUGCAAACUUGCAAGGUUUAUUUUAAAUACGCAUUACAGUGUUUUCUAUUCUAAUGUAAUUCUGCAAUGUAAUUCAGCUUUUAACAUUUUUCUAGGUAGUAAAAUGCUCAAGACAAGUAGGCCCAGAGAUUUUUUUCCAACUGACAGAUGCUAGUUCUUUAGUUGUCUGAAAUCAGUUUUGACUUCAGCAGGGUCUCACAUGCAGCAAGUGCUGCAGCUGUUUCCUGAUACCUGUUUUCUCUAACCUAAAACCAGGUCCCGGUCUAGAUCCCGCUCAAGGUCCCGAGGAAGAAGGUAUUCUCGGUCACGCAGUCGGAGUCGUGGUAGGAGGUCCAGGUCAGCUUCCUAUCGUAGGUCUCGGUCCGUUUCCCCUCGUAGGUCUAGGUCUGUGUCUCCCCGCCGGUCCCGAUCGGGUUCCUUGAAGAGAUCAAGGUCUAGAUCAAGAUCCAGAUCUAGAUCCAGAUCUGUUACGUGGCCCCGAAGCAGGUCUAGGUCUCAUGGCAGAUCAAAAUCUGGCUCACUAGCUAAGAGUCAGUCAAAGUCCCGAUCACCAUCUCCAAAAAGAAGUCAUUCACCAUCAGGAAGCCCCCAAAGAAGUGCAAGUCCUGAAAGAAUGGAUUAAAGUUAUGAAGCUAAUCUUUUAGGAAGAAAGUUAUUUUGCUUACAUUAUUAUAAGGGAUUUUGUGGUGUCUUUGUAAAUGUAAGAGUGUAGAUAGAAGAGUAUAUCAGCUGAAAUUUGGCAUGAUCUGGGUCUUCUGAGUUAGUCACACCAACAGACUAGCACAGGUCUCUUUUUAUUGUAUGAAUUAACUUCCUGUGAUAUGAAAAUGUGGGACUUUUUUUAUUGGCACAUUGAAAUAAAAUGUGUAUUUUUAACUAAAACUUCUCUGUAGUAACCCUGCUGCUUCUGUUAACAUUUGGCUAUGUGCCAUGUAAUGUGGAUGAAAAAUGUCUAAAAUGGGAAUGACUAAUAUCAGUGUCUUCUCAAACUAAUCACUUUUCACAUUUGUUGAAUGGUCUUCAGGAUGAGUUUCUGCUUUCUUUGAAAUGGAUUUUAAAAUCCAUCUCUGCAGAUGGCUAAAAAUUUGAUUAAUCCCUUUUUAUUCCUUUACAAUAUUUACUGGGCAUUCAUUCUUCUCUCUAAUUAUUCUGCAAAACUUACUCUCUGGUGCUUGACUAGUUGUGAUACCAGAUGCCCAAAAAUGUAAGGAUCAGCUUUUAUUCAAAACACAUUUUUUAAACGAGUAACAUCUGCAGAAACCUCUAAAGGUAAUAGAAAUCAUUAAUAACUUGACGAUUGCUACUUUUGCUUGUGCAUUUUUUAGUUUUUUAGGCUACUGAUACAAAGAAAACUUCUUAAAAUGUCUUAAGACACGUUUUCCUUUUUUGAGGGAAGACACAAGGUCUUCUGACCCUACUUCCUGAAGGACCUUAGGAAAAUGUGUUUGAGAGGCAAAAGAAAGCUGUUCCUGGUCUUUCUGCAGCUCACUCAGACUUUCUUCCUUAAAGUGAAAAUUUCUCGUGGCUGACCUCAGGAAUUCUAACCUGCUUCACAGAAAUUGGUAUGCAGCCCAGAGCCUAGAGACUAUUUUGCUGAAUUAAACUAAUUUCUUACAGCAACUGCACACCUGCAGGAUUAAUUAUUUGUGCAUAAGUAUGUCAAACUCUUGUGUUUGUCCUCAUCCUGUAGUCAAGAAUAUCAUAAGGCACUUCGUUGACACAGAUCACAGCAAAAGAUUGGAAACAGUGUUAGACUGUGAACAAACGAGGCAGAGGGGGAAAAAAGCAAACCUUUUUUUUUACUGUGGUGGGAUUUCUAGCAGAAAUAAAGGCCAGUAUUGGCAGUAAACAAGCACUGAAAUGGAGAGUGAGGUCUGUUCAUGCUUCUUGUGAAAUCUGUCAUGGCAGAUUGCUUUCAAAUGUGUGAGUGACAGCAGAGCAUCUUAAAUGAAAAAGAAUUGCAAGAUUAAUUUUGCUCACACCUUGGGUAACCCAUGAUUUUCAAAAAACAAGUUUCCUCCUAAUGAUGACUUUAUGGAGCUUUUUCAGUAAAUAGUGCAGAUAUUGAAUGUACUGUCAUGCUGCAGCAUUGUUUGACCUUUAUGCCUCAUCCUAACUGUUGCGGUGCUUGAUCUCUGCCUGGACACUCCUGGGGUGUUCAGUGGUGGGGAUGAGUGUUUGAUCUACCAGGUGCAGGGAUCAAUAUUCAGGCAAUAUCCAUGAAAUUCCACCAUUGCUGCAAUGGAAGAGUGGGGUGGGAGUGACACAAAUGUUGCCCUGCAGUGAUUUAGCAGAAAUGCCCAAAGCCUAUGACUUGUGUUUGGAGUAUUUCUUGGUUGUAUGUUGCCUGCCCCAUUUCUAGCACAUCUGGUGACAGGCACACAUGCCGCUGCUCUGGAAUUUGGUCAGCUUUUUUCUCUUCUGUACUAAGGCAAACCUACUCCACAAUAAACCUGCAGACUAACACGA
Athene cunicularia (burrowing owl) is the source of this 2944-nucleotide long non-coding RNA. RefSeq lists it as uncharacterized. The record is from RefSeq and is a predicted model, not a curated record. NCBI's taxonomy places the organism in Eukaryota, Metazoa, Chordata, Aves, Strigiformes, Strigidae. The transcript is spliced from 6 exons.